CCAUUGCUCAGUUGGUAAAGCACAAGGCUCUUAACCUUAUGGAUGUGGAUUCAAGCCCCAUGAUGGG
RNAcentral lists this transfer RNA (67 nucleotides) under Triticum aestivum (bread wheat). It matches the Rfam family "tRNA". From Rfam's summary of the family: Transfer RNA (tRNA) molecules are approximately 80 nucleotides in length. Their secondary structure includes four short double-helical elements and three loops (D, anti-codon, and T loops). The record is from Rfam by way of RNAcentral. Lineage: Eukaryota; Viridiplantae; Streptophyta; Magnoliopsida; Poales; Poaceae.